RNAcentral lists this transfer RNA (75 nucleotides) under Phycisphaerae bacterium. RNAcentral describes it as "tRNA-Leu". It matches the Rfam family "tRNA". Rfam says of the family: Transfer RNA (tRNA) molecules are approximately 80 nucleotides in length. The record is from RNAcentral. RNAcentral also lists the same sequence under 1 other name. Lineage: Bacteria; Pseudomonadati; Planctomycetota; Phycisphaerae.
GCGGUGGUAGCCCAAUUGGCAGGAGGCACGAGGAUGAGGUUCUCGACAGUGUGGGUUCGAAUCCCUCCCACCGCA